This 217-nucleotide non-coding RNA is filed under the name Bacillota bacterium. RNAcentral describes it as "Firmicutes bacterium T-box sequence". It matches the Rfam family "T-box leader". From Rfam's summary of the family: Uncharged tRNA acts as the effector for transcription antitermination of genes in the T-box leader family. T-boxes are found upstream of many aminoacyl-tRNA synthetase genes and some amino acid biosynthetic genes usually in Gram-positive bacteria. The record is from RNAcentral. Lineage: Bacteria; Bacillati; Bacillota.
AUUUAGACGUUGAAGAGGAAGAGUAUAAGCGCAAAUACUUGUAAAGAGAAAAGUUGGUUGGUGAAAAACUUGAAGUAAUGCUUAGAAGGUAGCCUUGGAGUUAUUUAGGUGAGAAAGGUUCAUUAGCCUAAAUCGUUUUAUUCACGUUAUCGAAUACUAAGUUGAGAACAUAUUGUUCUAAUUAAGGUGGUACCGCGGAAUUCGUUUCGUCCUUUUU